Molecule: long non-coding RNA, 150 nt
Organism: Microtus oregoni (creeping vole)
Lineage: Eukaryota; Metazoa; Chordata; Mammalia; Rodentia; Cricetidae
Exons: 3
Source: RefSeq, a predicted model, not a curated record
UGAAUCUUCAAGGUACACUCUUUAAAGCACGUAUAUGACUGGAAAUGGAUCUUUCCAAUGUCAGUCUUCAGAAGCAAGGAGGCACAAUUCAUGAGAAAGUGGCAGGAGCAGCUCACAGCUGUGGAUGGAGGAAUUUGCUCACAUCUAGGC